This 253-nucleotide ribosomal RNA is filed under the name uncultured bacterium. Its description in RNAcentral is "partial 16S ribosomal RNA". It matches the Rfam family "Bacterial small subunit ribosomal RNA", at positions 524 to 776 of the family's 1533-position model. The record is from RNAcentral.
UACAGGGGGGGCAAGCGUUGUUCGGAAUUACUGGGCGUAAAGGGCUCGUAGGCGGCCAACUAAGUCAGACGUGAAAUCCCUCGGCUUAACCGGGGAACUGCAUCUGAUACUGGAUGGCUUGAGAUUGGGAGAGGGAUGCGGAAUUCCAGGUGUAGCGGUGAAAUGCGUAGAGAUCCGGAAGAACACCGGUGGCGAAGGCGGCCUGCUGGGCAGUAGCUGACACUGAGGCGCGACAGCGUGGGGAGCAAACAGG